RNAcentral lists this ribosomal RNA (492 nucleotides) under uncultured bacterium. RNAcentral's name for it is "partial 16S ribosomal RNA". It matches the Rfam family "Bacterial small subunit ribosomal RNA", at positions 29 to 507 of the family's 1533-position model. The record is from RNAcentral.
AGUGAACGCUGGCGGUAGGCCUAACACAUGCAAGUCGAACGGCAGCACAGUAAGAGCUUGCUCUUACGGGUGGCGAGUGGCGGACGGGUGAGGAAUACAUCGGAAUCUACUUUUUCGUGGGGGAUAACGUAGGGAAACUUACGCUAAUACCGCAUACGACCUACGGGUGAAAGCAGGGGAUCUUCGGACCUUGCGCGAUUGAAUGAGCCGAUGUCGGAUUAGCUAGUUGGCGGGGUAAAGGACCACCAAGGCGACGAUCCGUAGCUGGUCUGAGAGGAUGAGCAGCCACACUGGAACUGAGACACGGUCCAGACUCCUACGGGAGGCAGCAGUGGGGAAUAUUGGACAAUGGGCGCAAGCCUGAUCCAGCCAUACCGCGUGGGUGAAGAAGGCCUUCGGGUUUUAAAGCCCUUUUGUUGGGAAAGAAAAGCAGCAGGUUAAUACCCCGCUGUUCUGACGGUACCCAAAGAAUAAGCACCGGCUAACUUCGUG